UCUGGGUCACCUCCCACCCGUGUUUAUUUUACCUUGUUGCUUCGGCGGGCCCGCCUUAACUGGCCGCCGGGGGGCUUACGCCCCCGGGCCCGCGCCCGCCGAAGACACCCUCGAACUCUGUCUGAAGAUUGUAGUCUGAGUGAAAAUAUAAAUUAUUUAAAACUUUCAACAACGGAUCUCUUGGUUCCGGCAUCGAUGAAGAACGCAGCGAAAUGCGAUACGUAAUGUGAAUUGCAAAUUCAGUGAAUCAUCGAGUCUUUGAACGCACAUUGCGCCCCCUGGUAUUCCGGGGGGCAUGCCUGUCCGAGCGUCAUUUCUGCCCUCAAGCACGGCUUGUGUGUUGGGCCCCGUCCUCCGAUCCCGGGGGACGGGCCCGAAAGGCAGCGGCGGCACCGCGUCCGGUCCUCGAGCGUAUGGGGCUUUGUCACCCGCUCUGUAGGCCCGGCCGGCGCUUGCCGAUCAACCCAAAUUUUUAUCCAGGUUGACCUCGGAUCAGGUAGGGAUACCCGCUGAACUUAAGCAUAUCAA
This 528-nucleotide ribosomal RNA is filed under the name Penicillium chrysogenum. RNAcentral describes it as "eukaryotic LSU rRNA". The stretch from base 161 to 313 matches the Rfam family "5.8S ribosomal RNA". The record is from RNAcentral. Lineage: Eukaryota; Fungi; Ascomycota; Eurotiomycetes; Eurotiales; Aspergillaceae.